UCAAUUCAGAUAGGUAAUGGUCUACGUCAUAUCCGGGUUGAAAACCGUCGUCGUAGCCAUCGGAAAAGGUUAAAAACGUUAGGUCUUGAGCAGUGGGGACUUUGGUCAUGCGGCGGCCAGCGGAGAUACAGGUAAUGAAAGUUACACGUACUCCAAUACGGAUAAGAUGCUUGGCAAAUUGUAAGCUUGGGUUUAUGUGGCCUUGUGCAGGGUAGGUCACUAGGAGGAAAUGAGGCUGUGACAUGGUGGUGACGGCGGCGCGUAGGUAGUUGAGCUGGU
Molecule: long non-coding RNA, 279 nt
Filed under: Gossypium barbadense (sea-island cotton)
Lineage: Eukaryota; Viridiplantae; Streptophyta; Magnoliopsida; Malvales; Malvaceae
Description: long non-coding RNA (GBAR_LNC001072)
Source: RNAcentral